Molecule: ribosomal RNA, 304 nt
Filed under: uncultured bacterium
Lineage: Bacteria
Description: partial 16S ribosomal RNA
Rfam family: Bacterial small subunit ribosomal RNA
Source: RNAcentral
CAGCAGCAGCCGCGGUAAUACGAAGGGUGCAAGCGUUACUCGGAAUUACUGGGCGUAAAGCGUGCGUAGGUGGUGGUUUAAGUCCGUUGUGAAAGCCCUGGGCUCAACCUGGGAAUUGCAGUGGAUACUGGGUCACUAGAGUGUGGUAGAGGAUAGUGGAAUUUCCGGUGUAGCAGUGAAAUGCGUAGAGAUCGGAAGGAACAUCUGUGGCGAAGGCGACUAUCUGGGCCAACACUGACACUGAGGCACGAAAGCGUGGGGAGCAAACAGGAUUAGAUACCCGCGUAGUCCCUGUCUCUUAUAA